CAAAAUUAUGGUGUUUGGCAUUUUGAUGGCCACAGAGUAUAUGAACUUGAUCUCUAGCUAUGCAGACACUGUUGUUUGAGUCCUGUUAUUCCAUGUUGGAUUGCUAUUUAGAUACAGAGAUUGCAUCAUCCUUCAUACGUAUAAACAGGGAAUCCCCAGGGCUUUGCCAGCUCCUCAUUUCUCCACCUACAGUGUUGUUAUGAUGAGCUAUAUUUAAACGAGCUGCCUGAAACCUUCAGGUUCCAGCAACAGAUGAAUAUUGUCAUUUUUAGGUAACAUGGAGGGUGAGGGCUUACUGGAGCAGGUCCUGCAGUACUGAUGGAGGAAGCAGCCUUGUGAGCUAAGCAGAGAGCUAUAAGCAGAGUUCCCUAAAGUUAAAAGUCUUGUUUUGUUUUGUUUUGUUUUCCACUUGAGCAUCCAUCACGAGUUACCCUAAGGAUUUAGAAAGGAGAUACAGCUGGAAAGAGAUAUGUCUCUUUAAGACUGUCUCUCUUGCCGAUCAGUUUGGGAAUAUUGUUGUUGCUGUGCUUUCAAGAUAAACUCAUCCAGGAUGACUCACCAGAGGCCUUCCUUACAGGAGUAUCUCAGAUGAGAUUAAGCUUCUCCAUCUCAGUAUUUUGUCACCAUAAUCCUACCUGGAGUACGAGUUCCAAGCUACAUCAGAGCUACAAGCCAGCUUCACUUUCUUUCAUAUGGAUACUAUGGCCAAGAUGGCAGCAGUGGCGGCAGUAAACUUGGACUGAGCCAGCCCUCUUUAAGUUCUCUUUCCUCAUGGUUAACCAGCAAUGUUAGCAGUAGCCAAGUGAGAGGAAAUCUCAAACUCUGCCUCCCUCUUUCUGAAAUAGAAAUUCUCAUGUUUCUGUUGGGGCUCUGAACUCUUCAUGAGAAGGCUCUUAUGUUAAUCACAGGGAUUUGUAUAAUGGCCCCUCAGUGAAUCUUGAUACAGAAAAGGACCCACAAGAGUUUUCUAAGCCAUUCUUCCUUGUCUGCUAUUAGUAUUAUUAUUAAAAACAAAACAAAACAAAACACCUUACCUUCCGUCUUAGAAUCAAUACUCUGUAUUGGUUCCAAGGCAGAAGAGUGGUUAAAGGCUAGGCAGUGGGGGUUAAGUGACUUGCCCAGGGUCACACAGCUGGGAAGUAUCUGAGGCCAGAUUUGAACCUGGGACCUCCUGUCUCUAGGCCUGGCUCUCAAUCCACUGAGCUACCCAGCUGCCCCCUUUGUCUGCUAUUAUUUUAAGGUUUUUUUUUGUUGUUGGUGGUGGUGUUAUUUGGCUUUAAGGGAGAAAGGUAAUAACAUUCCACUUCUAAAAUCUCCCUGAAAAGCCACUAAUGGAAAAUUUGUCUGCUUAUAAAUUCAAUAUACAAAUGAAAACCAAUAUAAGCAAGUAUAAAAUCCAGAUUGUGUAAACCAGUGCUCUUAAAUAUAGCACACCCCAGCUUGGAUAGAAUCAGAGGUGUCUUCAGGCAGGUCUAUCUCAGUCAACUAUAGCAGAUGAGAGACUAUCUUGUGUUAGAGUACUCCCAAGAAGAGAUCUAUAGAAUCAAUAGACCUAUAGAAACUAAUUUCAGCCUCACAUUUGAGAAGUGAAUGUCAAGAAUCCAUAAAUUUUUCUUUGGGGGGGGGGAAAUCCCUCUUGAUGUGGAAGCAUCUUUCAUUCUGUUUUGCCCUUAUAGAAAGCAGAACUGUUGGUCACCAUUCUGAGAGGUGACAAGAGCAGUAGUAGAUGACU
This is a long non-coding RNA of Monodelphis domestica (gray short-tailed opossum), 1732 nucleotides long. The record is from Ensembl. NCBI's taxonomy places the organism in Eukaryota, Metazoa, Chordata, Mammalia, Didelphimorphia, Didelphidae.